This 428-nucleotide long non-coding RNA is filed under the name Vulpes vulpes (red fox). Its description in RNAcentral is "lncRNA (ENSVVUG00000015528.1)". The record is from RNAcentral. Lineage: Eukaryota; Metazoa; Chordata; Mammalia; Carnivora; Canidae.
CACUGUCGUAAACAGCAGUGAUAAUAUGCAUGCCUCUGUUUUUCUUCUACUUCAGCCAAUUUCGUACACAUACGAUGCAUUGCAAAGAAAGGAGAAUAUGAAUUUCACUUCAGGAUGCAGCUUCCUUGGUCCCUGUUUUUUGCACAUGAUCAGUUGAUCUUCUUUGAUGUAUCUUGGGGUGGCCGUCCUGGCAGCAGCUACCAGACAAGCCCUCAGAGACCCGGCUUCCUCAGAUGACCUUGGACUUCCAGCAUUUCAUCUCCUCUCCUGUCUUCCACCCCAGGGCAGCUGCUGAGUUGAAGUUGUCCCGCAGCAAGCAUCCAGCUCACACGCCCACCCUGACUGUGCAGAUUGGGCAAAGCCCGUAUCUUUGCAACUGGCAUGUGCGUACGAUGAUUGAUCAUGAACUCUGCAAAAGUGAGGAGAGG